This 1185-nucleotide long non-coding RNA is filed under the name Panax ginseng (ginseng). RNAcentral's name for it is "long non-coding RNA (PGIN_LNC013391)". Lineage: Eukaryota; Viridiplantae; Streptophyta; Magnoliopsida; Apiales; Araliaceae. The record is from RNAcentral.
AUUUAUUUCAAGUAUUAUAGAGCUUCAAAGCCUUUCUUAAAUUGAUGCGGUUGUGGUCUGAUUCCAUCUAGGCGGGGCCUAGGCGCCUAGCCAAAUUGAGGCAAUAGAAGACCACCUAGCGCCUAGGCGCUAAGCGAACCUAGGCAGAGUAUGAUUUUGAAGUCUUGACAGUUUUAUGGUGUUAGUAUCUGUGGAUCUAUUUCUUAACACUGUGUUUGAUCUUAGAAACAGUUAGAGGAAGGACAAGAAAAUGAAAAUAUUAGAUAACAAAAUAUGCGGUGUAAACCUUUUACAUAGUUGCAGUUUUUUUUUCACCUUCUGCCUUGUUUUUCAUAAUUUCCAUUACUCUUCUCAAUAUCCAAAUCAAACAUAUAGCUCUAUUUGGUUUUUGGAUAUAUUGAAGACAAAGAUUAGAACAAAUUUAUUUGACUUGUUUGUUUGCAAUGGUAGUUGGGAGAAAAAAGUAUAUUUAGAAAAGAAAUUUUGAAAUUUAAGUACCAAUUUCUUUUUCAUUUUCAUAAAUAUUGGCAAAAUUUCAUCAACUUUUAGUUACAUACUCUCUCUGUCCCAGAAUAGUUGUUAUACUCCAUCCGUCAUCGUAUAUGUGGCCACUUGAAAUGCACAUAAUUUUAAAAGAGAGUUUAAAUAUUGAAUUCCAUUGUCCUUGCCUUUAGUAUAUGGUGGGGUUUAUAAGCUUUCAUUUUUAAAUUCGCAUGAGGGUAAAUGUUCUAGAAAUAAAGGAUAAUGUGAAAGCUGUACAAAUGUUCAUGAGUAUGUAGAUAUGACCUUUAAUGGAUUAUGAAUUGAAAUAUGUGGGUAGGAGUGAAGUGGCAUUGUAAUUUUAAACUUACAAACUUGUGAUGUGGAGUAGCAGAACCUAAAAAACAGGGUGAAGAUGGUGGUGCUCUUCUAAACUUACUAAAAAGUUAUAUUGUUUCUGCAAUUAGUACAAAUUUAAAACUUUAGUGGUGUUGUUUGUUAUUGUCGAUAUUAAACUAGUUACUACUUAUGGUAAAAAAGAAAAGAAAAGAAAAGAGAGUUGUUUCCUUUGAUGAAUCUGUAGCUAUUUUUUUAAAACUCAACUUGGGUUUCAUUGAUGCCAAAUAUUCAUCUCAACUCAACUAUGCCUUCUAUCCCAAACUAGUUUAGGUAUCCUGAAAAUAAUUCCAUAUGUAGAAACAAAAG